UGCAGUCGAACGCUUCUUUCCUCCCGAGUGCUUGCACUCAAUUGGAAAGAGGAGUGGCGGACGGGUGAGUAACACGUGGGUAACCUACCCAUCAGAGGGGGAUAACACUUGGAAACAGGUGCUAAUACCGCAUAACAGUUUAUGCCGCAUGGCAUAAGAGUGAAAGGCGCUUUCGGGUGUCGCUGAUGGAUGGACCCGCGGUGCAUUAGCUAGUUGGUGAGGUAACGGCUCACCAAGGCCACGAUGCAUAGCCGACCUGAGAGGGUGAUCGGCCACACUGGGACUGAGACACGGCCCAGACUCCUACGGGAGGCAGCAGUAGGGAAUCUUCGGCAAUGGACGAAAGUCUGACCGAGCAACGCCGCGUGAGUGAAGAAGGUUUUCGGAUCGUAAAACUCUGUUGUUAGAGAAGAACAAGGACGUUAGUAACUGAACGUCCCCUGACGGUAUCUAACCAGAAAGCCACGGCUAACUACG
Molecule: ribosomal RNA, 477 nt
Filed under: Enterococcus faecalis
Lineage: Bacteria; Bacillati; Bacillota; Bacilli; Lactobacillales; Enterococcaceae
Description: bacterial SSU rRNA
Rfam family: Bacterial small subunit ribosomal RNA
Source: RNAcentral